RNAcentral lists this ribosomal RNA (371 nucleotides) under uncultured bacterium. RNAcentral's name for it is "bacterial SSU rRNA". It matches the Rfam family "Bacterial small subunit ribosomal RNA", at positions 527 to 896 of the family's 1533-position model. The record is from RNAcentral.
AGAGGUCCCAAGCGUUGUUCGGAUUCAUUGGGCGUAAAGGGUGCGUAGGUGGCGCCGUAAGUGGGGUGUGAAAUCCCGGGGCUUAACCCCGGGACUGCAUUCCAUACUGCGGUGCUUGAGGACUGGAGAGGAGACUGGAAUUUACGGUGUAGCAGUGAAAUGCGUAGAGAUCGUAAGGAAGACCAGUGGCGAAGGCGGGUCUCUGGACAGUUCCUGACACUGAGGCACGAAGGCCAGGGGAGCAAACGGGAUUAGAUACCCCGGUAGUCCUGGCAGUAAACGGUGCACGUUUGGUGUGGGAGGAUUCGACCCCUUCCGCGCCGGAGCUAACGCGUUAAACGUGCCGCCUGGGGAGUACGGUCGCAAGAUUA